UGGCGGCACUAGCGCGGUGGUCCCACCUGACCCCAUGCCGAACUCAGAAGUGAAACGCCGUAGCGCCGUUGGUAGUGUGGGGUCUCCCCAUGUGAGAGUAGGGAACUGCCAGGCA
RNAcentral lists this ribosomal RNA (115 nucleotides) under Klebsiella pneumoniae. Lineage: Bacteria; Pseudomonadati; Pseudomonadota; Gammaproteobacteria; Enterobacterales; Enterobacteriaceae. The record is from RNAcentral.